GUCUGAGGUUACAACAUUAGAUAACUGAUGCUUUAAAAUGCCUUUCACUUACAGUAACUUAUCUUUCUUUCCAGGAUUCACUUAAUGAGCUGCAAACUCAGGAUGAGCAGGCGGAGAGCCUGCUGGAGGAUCUGUGUAUUAUGGCUUCCAUAGUGAGUUCAUCCAGCCUAGAGAGUCUGACUGUGGACGCGCAGCAGCUGCAGAAUAAAGUCAGAAACACCCAUCAGCUCUUCUCAGAGGUGGAAGACCGGACUCAGAGAAAUAUCCAGUCUCUGGACAGGCUGCAAAGUGAGUGUGAGCAUUUGGACCAAUGGUUGCAAACCGUUGAGGAUAAAGCAGCGAAGGAGGAGGAUCUUAAUCUCCUGCAAGAGGAGGUGCUUCAACAAAGGGGGAGGACAGAGGCCCUCAGUCAGCUUGUGUCAUCCUUACAGAGCAGCACACUCCAGCAGUCUCCUCUGGUGGCAGAGAGCAGCAAACUGCUCGAACGAUACAACAACUUUCAAACAAAUGUUCUGUGUGGCUCCAGUGAAAAGCAGAGCUCUCCAAGCAGAGAUGUCAAAGUGUUUCAGACUCUGUCCAUGUCAAUUCAGUCCUGCGGUGGACAUCUGGGACAAGUUGUUGACUCCCCGCUUGGUGAAGACCUCGGCCUCCAGAGUCCCGUGGCGCAGAGACUCCACAGUGCACAAGGUGUGUGUUCCCGCCUCGAGGAAGGUGUGAGUAAUGAGGAACAUUUUGGCCAGUUGCUGCAGGACUGCCACCACAAACUGACUUCCCUGCAGGAAAGGAUGUCAGCCUGUCAAGCUCAGACAGAAAGCUCAGCUGGACUGAUCACAGCUCUGGAGGUGAGGUCCCUUAAAUAAACUGAUGCAGUUAAUCAUGUACAAGCUCCCUUACAUUUCCACUCACCAUAAUAAAAGACAUUUUUAGGAGGCCACCUAUAUUGUAUUUCUGUUUAUCUCUCACUUUUUCACCUUACAGGCUUUGCUUAAAGAAGUUGCAGACGUAGAUAAAGAACUUUUACAGAUUGAAACACUGAAGAACUCGGUCACAGCCAGUUCCACAGCCGAGGCCCAGGCCAGCUUCUCCCAGCAGGUUGACAACCUCCAAAACCACAAGAGGGCGCUAGACAGCAGCAUCAGAGAUAAUCUGGCGCUGCUCAGAGACAACGGCAAUCAGAGAGCUCACCAAGUGGAGGAAGAGGUCUCCUGUGUACAGACUGCACUGAAAGACCUGGCUGAAAAUGUUUCAAAUCUAUGUGAGAGCUGUGGAGCGUUGCCUGAUAUCAGCCAGCUCAAAGUGCAGUGGAACACAAUACAGGUAUUGUGAAAAGAUCCGUCAAAAUGUUGCUUUUCUCUGAGUAAAAGUAUAACAAGUUCACAGACUUAUCCACACACUCACAGUGUCAUCGGAGGAGCAUUUAUCUCUCUCUCUCUCUCUCUCUCUCUCUCUCUCUCUCUCUCUCUCUCUCUCUCUCUCUCUCUCUCUCUCUCCCUCCCUCUCUCUCUCUCUCAGGACUGUGAUACCAGGCUGACAGAGUUGGCUACAAGCGUUUCCGGCCUGCUGAAAACUGGAGACUUGAGCAUCACACAAGAAACACUUCCCGCAAAGGUCAAUUUGUCUGUUGAAGCAGUUGCUAAAGACCUUGACAGGUAUUUAACCUUGUUUCAAAACAAAUAAGUCACAUUCUUCACAUUGAGAUACUAAAUAAAAAGCUUUUGGAACCAGUUGGUCAACACUACGACAA
Molecule: long non-coding RNA, 1744 nt
Filed under: Sparus aurata (gilthead seabream)
Lineage: Eukaryota; Metazoa; Chordata; Actinopteri; Spariformes; Sparidae
Description: lncRNA (ENSSAUG00010012068.1)
Source: RNAcentral